GGCAGUUAGCUCAGCUGGUUAGACCAUGGUGCUGAGAACUCCAAGGCUGUGGGUUUGAUCCCCAUAUGGGCCA
Non-coding RNA from Podarcis lilfordi (Lilford's wall lizard), 73 nucleotides. NCBI's taxonomy places the organism in Eukaryota, Metazoa, Chordata, Lepidosauria, Squamata, Lacertidae. The record is from the annotation of a GenBank genome assembly.